GGGUGCGAUCAGACCAGCUCUAAUGCACUGGAUCCCAUCAGAACUCCACAGUAAAGCGUGCUUGGGUGAGAGUAGUACUAGGAUGGGUGACCUCCUGAGAAGUCUUCGGGUUGCAUCCU
Elaeis guineensis (African oil palm) is the source of this 119-nucleotide ribosomal RNA. The record is from RefSeq and is a predicted model, not a curated record. Lineage: Eukaryota; Viridiplantae; Streptophyta; Magnoliopsida; Arecales; Arecaceae.